Talpa occidentalis (Iberian mole) is the source of this 329-nucleotide long non-coding RNA. RefSeq lists it as uncharacterized. The record is from RefSeq and is a predicted model, not a curated record. The transcript has 3 exons. NCBI's taxonomy places the organism in Eukaryota, Metazoa, Chordata, Mammalia, Eulipotyphla, Talpidae.
UUUCCUGCCCCACCCAAGAGGAGGGGGAACAGAGCAGGGAGAGAAGAAGCUGCAGAGGAGACUGAGGAAAGAAGGAAGCAGGAUGGAGAGCCAGAAGGAGACCUGGAGGAGGCACGUGGAGCCGAGAGACACGUGAAGUGGCUGCGCUUGCCUUUUGGUCGUGGACUGGAUGAAACAGUUGUAGAGAUAUUUGGAAGAUGACUCUGAGGACCCUGAUCUUAAACUGCACUGAACAGAAGUAACCUCACCUUCCAGUCUGAAAAGUCACCAUGGACAUCCUCCAAACUCAGGCAGAAACCCUGAUCCAUAAGAAAGAAUAAGAGUAAUAA